RNAcentral lists this transfer RNA (65 nucleotides) under Nereis sp. Its description in RNAcentral is "tRNA-Met". The record is from RNAcentral. Lineage: Eukaryota; Metazoa; Annelida; Polychaeta; Phyllodocida; Nereididae.
GAUAAAAUAAGCUAACCUAAGCUAUUGGGCUCAUACCCCGAAAAUGGACACCAUUCCUUUUAUCA